Molecule: long non-coding RNA, 652 nt
Filed under: Mytilus galloprovincialis (Mediterranean mussel)
Lineage: Eukaryota; Metazoa; Mollusca; Bivalvia; Mytilida; Mytilidae
Source: RNAcentral
GAUUGAGGCAAACCUCAGACAUUAAAGGUUUUCGUAUUACUAUAGAUAAUAAAACACAUAGCAUCAAAAUAUCACAAUUAGCUGAUGAUACAACUCUGUUUUGUAGUUCAAAAUCAGAUAUAUCUAAAGCUAUGAAUAUAAUUGAAACAUUUGGCUCUUUCUCAGGGUUGAAGCUAAACCGUAAUAAAACAGAAGGAAUUUGGAUUGGGGCGCUUAAAAACAGCGUAGAUAAGAUUGAGGGCAUACGCUGGACAGACAAACCUGUCAAAGCUUUAGGCAUUUAUUUUGGUCACGAUAGACUUCAAUGUGAAAAGUUAAAUUGGGAACCUAAAAUAGAUAACAUGAAAUCAUUAAUUAAAACAUGGGAAAAAAGAAAAUUAACAAUGGUUGGGAAAAUAUUGAUCAUAAAAUCUUUAAUAUUACCAAAAUUUACAUUUUUGGCUACUUCGUGCAAAGUUCCAGAUAUUUACUUGAAAGAAAUUGAAAGCUGCUGUUUCAAAUAUAUUUGGGAAGGAAAAAAUGACAAAGUAAAAAGAAACACACUUAUUGGCGAAUACCAAAAAGGGGGGUUAAGAAUGAUCGAUUUUGACAGUUAUUUUACAGCACUGAAAGCCUCAUGGGUCUCUAAAUUAACAACAACCAAUAUGCCGAA